Molecule: non-coding RNA, 222 nt
Filed under: uncultured Defluviicoccus sp.
Lineage: Bacteria; Pseudomonadati; Pseudomonadota; Alphaproteobacteria; Rhodospirillales; Rhodospirillaceae
Source: RNAcentral
CAAGUUCUGUACGUUGAAGAUCUAGCCAAUCACGACGACCCCGAGUCAUGCGUUGGCAUCCGCAAGGAUGCCGGCGAAGCGUUGACAGGGGAACAUGCGGGCAGAGUAUCGAGCCGCGAAAAGUUGACGUCCAGGGUGCCGACGCCGUGGAGACUAGCGGAAGGCAACACGGGCUGGGGCGCUAUGGCGAGCGCCAGUCCGACCCUGCGUGGUCUGAGACCU